Molecule: ribosomal RNA, 507 nt
Filed under: uncultured bacterium
Lineage: Bacteria
Description: partial 16S ribosomal RNA
Rfam family: Bacterial small subunit ribosomal RNA
Source: RNAcentral
AUUGAACGCUGGCGGCAUGCCUUACACACGCAAGUCGAACGGCAGCGGGGGAGAAGCUUGCUUUUCCUGCCGGCGAGUGGCGAACGGGUGAGUAAUACAUCGGAACGUGCCCUGUAGCGGGGGAUAACUAGUCGAAAGAUUAGCUAAUACCGCAUACGACCUGAGGGUGAAAGUGGGGGACCGCAAGGCCUCAUGCUAUAGGAGCGGCCGAUGUCUGAUUAGCUAGUUGGUGGGGUAAAGGCCUACCAAGGCGACGAACAGUAGCUGGUCUGAGAGGACGAUCAGCCAGACGGGGACUAAGACACGGCCCAGACUCCUACGGGAGGCAGCAGUGGGGAAUUUUGACAAUGGGCGAAAGCCUGAUCCAGCAAUGCCGCGUGUGUGAAGAAGGCCUUCGGGUUGUAAAGCACUUUUGUCCGGAAGGAAAUGGCUCUGGUUAAUACCUGGGGUCGAUGACGGUACCGGAAGAAUAAGGACCGGCUAACUACGCGCCAGCCGCCGCGGUAA